GAUGAAGAACGUAGCGAAAUGCGAUAAGUAAUGAGAAUUGCAGAAUUCAGUGGAUCAUCGAAUCUUUGAACGCACAUUGCGCCCCUUGGUAUUCCGAGGGGCAUGCCUGUUCGAGCGUCAUUUCAACCCUCAAGCUCUGCUUGGUCUUGGGCCUGGCCGCGAUGGCCGGCCUUAAAAUCAGUGGCGGUGCCGUCGUAGGCUCCAAGCGUAGUACAUCUCUCGCUCUGGAAGCCCGGCGGUGCCUGCCAGACAACCCCUAAUUGUCUCCUAUGGUUGACCUCGGAUCAGGUAGGGAUACCCGCUGAACUUAAGCAUAUCAAUAAGCGGAGGA
This 331-nucleotide unclassified non-coding RNA is filed under the name soil metagenome. Its description in RNAcentral is "partial contains 5.8S ribosomal RNA, internal transcribed spacer 2, and large subunit ribosomal RNA". The stretch from base 1 to 120 matches the Rfam family "5.8S ribosomal RNA", at positions 35 to 154 of the family's 154-position model. The record is from RNAcentral.